This 440-nucleotide ribosomal RNA is filed under the name uncultured bacterium. RNAcentral's name for it is "partial 16S ribosomal RNA". It matches the Rfam family "Bacterial small subunit ribosomal RNA", at positions 338 to 795 of the family's 1533-position model. The record is from RNAcentral.
CCUACGGGAGGCAGCAGUGGGGGAUAUUGCACAAUGGGGGGAACCCUGAUGCAGCGACGCCGCGUGGGUGAAGGAGCGUUUCGGCGCGUAAAGCCCUAUCGGCAGGGAAGAAGAUGACGGUACCUGGCCAAGAAGCACCGGCUAACUACGUGCCAGCAGCCGCGGUAAUAAGGAGGGGGCAAGCGUUAUCCGGAUUUACGGGGGGUAAAGGGGGCGGAGACGGCAAUGCAAGCCAGGAGGGAAAGCCCGGUGCCCAACCCCGGGACUGCUCUUGGAACUGCAUGGCUGGAGUACAGGAGGGGCAGGCCGAAUUCCUAGUGUAGCGGUGAAAUGCGUAGAUAUUAGGAGGAACCCCGGUGGCGAAGGCGACCUGCUGGACUGUGACUGACGUUGAGGCCCGGAGGCGUGGGGAGCAAACAGGAUUAGAUACCCUUGUAGUC